UACGUAGGGUGCGAGCGUUAAUCGGAAUUACUGGGCGUAAAGCGUGCGCAGGCGGUUCGCCAAGUCAGGUGUGAAAUCCCCGGGCUUAACCUGGGAAUUGCGCUUGAAACUGGCGGGCUUGAGUGUGGCAGAGGGGGGUGGAAUUCCGCGUGUAGCAGUGAAAUGCGUAGAUAUGCGGAGGAACACCGAUGGCGAAGGCAAUCCCCUGGGCCUGCACUGACGCUCAUGCACGAAAGCGUGGGGAGCAAACAGG
Molecule: ribosomal RNA, 253 nt
Filed under: uncultured bacterium
Lineage: Bacteria
Description: partial 16S ribosomal RNA
Rfam family: Bacterial small subunit ribosomal RNA
Source: RNAcentral